Molecule: long non-coding RNA, 3641 nt
Filed under: Anser cygnoides (Swan goose)
Lineage: Eukaryota; Metazoa; Chordata; Aves; Anseriformes; Anatidae
Description: lncRNA (ENSACDG00005011869.1)
Source: RNAcentral
AGAAAUGAAAUAGCACACCUCUUCCCUGCGCCUGAAAUUCAUUACUUUUCCUUAAUAAGGAAAUUGAUAUUCCAGAGAAAAUUGGCCACUGAAAGCAGAAGACUGUCUAGAACCAAUGGCUACUUUAGCUGGGGAAAGCUAAUCAUUCAAGGUACUCUCUAUUUUAUACCAAUUAUAGAGAGGGCAACCUACGGCUGGGCUCUUAAGCAGCUCAAAAUCUCUCUGUCUUGUGAAUAUGAGAGAGAGAGGAAGACUAGCUUCUGCAAGGUUAAAAACACAUAUUAUGAAAAAAGUAUUUUUUUUAAAGUGAAGUUUAGAGGGGUUUUCCAAAUGAUUUAUUUUCAAAUGAAUUGGGCUGAGAUAUAAAAGGCGUUUUGUGUGAAGCCUAGUUGCCUUUUUCACUCCUGUACAUUACACUCAAAAUGCAUUAAUGAAGAUACUGUCUUCUUGUUACUGAUGUAUACUUAAGAAUUAUGCUAACUUGCUUUAAAAAGAUAAAUCUACUUAUUUGAGUGUAAUUAUUAUUAAUCUUUGUCUCUUUAGAGAGUGAUGCAAGACCAAAAACAUCACUUUCACUAUAAUGUCAUAUGACAAGGUACAGGGAUGCUCCAGAAUGUGAAGAUCUGCUUUCUCAAUAGAUUCUAUGAAAGUUCUGCCUUAAUGUGAAGCUUGUUAACAUAGGACAUUGAGAAUCUGUAAGAUGUUCUAGAAGUAACUGUAUAUUCUAAGUAUUGUGAGUAAGACUGCAUGAUAUUGAAAAGUAUCAAAAUAACAAGUCUUUGCCUUGUCUCACACGUGAUGGAUGUUUUAAAGCUUUCAUUCAGCAAAUAACUGGGAUUGUAAUUCUAACAGGUAUCCAAAGGAAUAGUGAAGUAUGAUUUUCUGAACAUUCUUAUCAAAUAUUUGUUUAAAAUGUAGCUGUGCCUAUAAAGCCAUGUUUACAUUAUAUCACAGAAGAUGUUGGGUCACUGUCUCUGGAGGUUUUCAAAAGAUGUGUAGGUGUGGUGCUUAAGGACGUGGUUUAGUGGUAGACUUGGCAGUGCUAGGUUAAUGGUUGGACUUGGUGAUCUUGGAGGUCUGUUCCAACCUAAAUGAUUCUGUGAUUCUGGGAAGAUGACCAGAAUUAUAGAUGUAUUCUUCUUGCCUGUCAAGUUUUCUUAAAAAUUAAAUCAAAUUAAUCAUUUUCAGUUCUUUCUAAAAAUGAUAAAUAGCAUUUUAGGGCAUGAAAUUGUACACCUGGUUACUUAUAAUUUUUAUCUACACCUCAGAUAAUUAGAAAGCCAUUGUACUUAGAAAAAUACGGCCUCUCUGAGCUGGAAAGUGAGACAUGGAGAACAAACUACCCCGAACAGUUUAGAGCAAAUGAUAACAGUGGAAUGAACAGUGCUUACAAAACAACAACAAAACAAAUCAGAAAAAGCAACAAAAGCACACUGGUAUUAUUAUAUAUAGACUUUGUUGGUAUACAGAACACUAUAUUUCCUGAACUCUUUUCCUCACUAAAAUAAUAAUAAUUAAAAAAAAAGGCAAGCUUUUGAAUAUCUGGAUGCUUUGCAAUUUAGUUGCCUUUCACUUUCCCUGAAAAGGGGAGAGCUCCUCCCCAGUCCAUUUGUAGGGCAUUUGUAACAACUAUCAUAUAUUUCUCCAGUUUCCAAUCAAGUGACUUCCAAUGUGCAGGAAGGGAACAGUCUUCACUCCUUGACAGAAAAAUUUUCUCCCUACCUGUUAUUCUGGUGUUCACUGUACUGAAGCUGUGCUUUCACGCUCCUGUGGGUUAGAUUUAAAAAAAAUAUUUUUUAAAGCCCCAAGUCCUAUGUCUGUAUUAGCCUUAUCAGUGAACUAUUUCAGGGACAAUGUUCAGAGUACCUCCCUUAAUCAAAAGCACAGGGAGAAACAGCUCGCCUAAAAAUCCACCUUUGGGCUCAAUGCAGAUAGCAAGGAGCAGUCAGUCAAAGCACAAGAAACCAAGCUCAGUCAUUGUUGCCCUGUCCUUCAGUAGUUUCCCUGUGGUCUUUACCUACUAUUACUGAGCUUGGAGCUUCUAGCAAUUACUGUGAUUAACUUUUGGUCGUGUGGACCCUGGUUUACCACCCUCUUGCCCUUUGGCUGUCAGAGAUUUCCAGCAAAAGCAUCCGUAGUUAGCCAUGGCAAUGGUAAGAUGCAUGUCCAUGGCUCCCAAUGAACACAGCAGCUCAGCUGGAGAGCUAGCAAGCUCCUAUUUGGGUUACUGGGAUCCAGUCCCAGUUUAAGAUUGCCUUUUCCAAGCCAAGCACUCUAAUUUACUGUAUGACAACACCUCCCCACACACUAGCUGAAGUAAACUUACUUGUCAGGUGUAAGCUAUAACAACAGCAUAAAGCUUGACUGUUCUUUUAUCUUAGUAUGAAAAUCAAAUUGCCAGAGUCUUUCCCCUAAAGAAAGGGUAACAGACAGCUAGGCAGCCAGACUGAAAAUUUUCCCACAGCUUAUACAACUUUACAAGUUUCCGUCAUUUCUCUGAAUGCCAGCUGUCCAGUUUGUUGAAUUUAAAGCACAAUAAGGACAAACAAUUGCCUAGAUAUUUCUCCUUAUAUGGGUUAUUUUAGCUAAGUAAUAGAAGGCAGAUAUGCAGGGGAAUUGUGCAGGCAGUUCUGUGAAAAAUUUAUAUGCUUAAUGUUUGUGUCAUUUAAUUUUUUUUUCCUAGAUACACAUCUAUUUCACUGUGUGUGCCUGGGAUUUCAGACAUUUAGUGAAUUCAACAAUUCUCUUCAUUCAUAGAAAUAUACCUCAGAAUGGCACAGCAAUUAAUUUAUACAAGGGGGUAGGUUGAUUAGGCACAAACUUGCCAAAUGACAAGGAAAAUGUAGGUCCUUGGUUAAAAGCUGCACAGCAAAAUGAAAGCAUUCAGGUCUGCAACGUAAUUACUGUCCUGAAAUUUUAGAAUACUGCUCUGGUUAUAGAUCACUGCUGGUAAUAUCUUUUCUCCUUUCUAGGUCCAAACCACUUCAGUUUUGUCACGUGAAUUUCUGUAUCAUAUCUGUUUGAAGUCUGACUCUGCACAUGAUAAAAAUUUUGUAGCUUCUUUGUGACACGUCUUUGGGUGAGUCUACAUCUUUAUUUUUUUGCUUGGGUUGUGAUGUUCCUAUAAGAAAGAAGCUGAAAUGUGACUCCUCAGCAAAUUGUGCCCUCGCUUGUAAAGCAAUCUGGUACAAAAUUAAUCUAAAUUUUAUUUUAUUCACUAAUUAUAUGUAGCAGCCUGGUGGCUGGUUGGAAUGAAAUUAAUUCCCUAGACAAAAAUCCCAUCAGUCUGAGUGAUGGCAAUGUACUGGUGGUUGUCAUUGUUUAUAUCCCUUUACCCUUAAUGAAUGCUAGGAAGAACUUUAAAGUCGUGUUCGAAUCAAGUAGUAGCCACAACAUAAGUGAGUGAUAACAACAAAAAAGGAGAAGAAAGGAGAAAAAAAAUGCUUUCAUCAACACUAUUCAAGAAUGUCAAGGUGUUUCUCAUUCGAAAUGACAGGUUGGCAUUCUGUAGUUCAUUGCUGACAAGCAGAAUUGCAAGUGUUUUAAAACUAUGGGCAGGUUUUGAAAUAGUUGAUUCUGUCUAAAACUCACUCUGGUUUGUCUGUAGCACUGAAUAAAUUCAUUAUUUACUGUAAAAACCA